UGGGGAAUAUUGCACAAUGGGGGAAACCCUGAUGCAGCAACGCCGCGAGAGUGAUGACGGUCUUCGGAUUGUAAAGCUCUGUCUUCAGGGACGAUAAUGACGGUACCUGAGGAGGAAGCCACGGCUAACUACGUGCCAGCAGCCGCGGUAAUACGUAGGUGGCAAGCGUUGUCCGGAUUUACUGGGCGUAAAGGGAGCGUAGGUGGAUAUUUAAGUGGGAUGUGAAAUACUCGGGCUUAACCUGGGUGCUGCAUUCCAAACUGGAUAUCUAGAGUGCAGGAGAGGAAAGUAGAAUUCCUAGUGUAGCGGUGAAAUGCGUAGAGAUUAGGAAGAAUACCAGUGGCGAAGGCGACUUUCUGGACUGUAACUGACACUGAGGCUCGAAAGCGUGGGGAGCAAACA
Molecule: ribosomal RNA, 402 nt
Filed under: uncultured bacterium
Lineage: Bacteria
Description: bacterial SSU rRNA
Rfam family: Bacterial small subunit ribosomal RNA
Source: RNAcentral